CCUACGGGCGGCAGCAGUAGGGGAUCUUGCACAAUGGGGGAAACCCUGACGCAGCAACGCCGCGUGAGUGAUGAAGUUUUUCGGUUUGUAAAGCUCUAUUAUCAGGGAAGAAAAUAACUGUAAUUGACUAAGCAGACCCGGCCAACUACGUGCCAGCAGCCGCGGUAAUACGUAGGGGGCAAGCGUUCUCCGGAUUUAAUGGGGGUAAAGGGAGCGUAGACGGUUAUGUAAGUCUGGAGUGAAAGCCCGGGGCCCAACCCCGGAAGGGCUUUGGAAACUGUGUAACUGGAGUACAGGAGGGGCAAGCGGAAUUCCUAGUGUAGCGGUGAAAUGCGUAGAGAUCAGGAGGAACACCAGCGGCGAAGGCGGCCUUCUGGACUGAAACUGACGCUGAGGCGCGAAAGCGUGGGGAGCAAACAGGAUUAGAUACCCUUGUAGUC
RNAcentral lists this ribosomal RNA (440 nucleotides) under uncultured bacterium. RNAcentral's name for it is "partial 16S ribosomal RNA". It matches the Rfam family "Bacterial small subunit ribosomal RNA", at positions 338 to 795 of the family's 1533-position model. The record is from RNAcentral.